AAUUGGGCGUGCAAAAUUACGUACUCUCAGAAGGCAGCCUGACCUCCGCCCCCUUUUUCUCAGUCUUUUCUUCACGCAAAUGAUAGGGAUUUGGGCCUGUUCCCUGGAAAACAGUAUAUCCUUUGCGUCGGACUCGUUAAAGGAAAAUGCUUCUACCUGAGAGUUAUCCUGUCUGAAGAGCCGUUCCAGUUCCUUCCGUCUGGAUGACUUCACUGACCCAGUCACCUUCUCACGUGGACACAACUUCUGCAAGUCCUGUAUUAGUGGAUACAGGGAUACCACUGACCUCUCGUAAAUAGGAUCACUUCCAGGAAGUUGUCUCCGGUUAAAGUCACAACCAUCAACCCAGAAGUUGACCUACACCUCAUCAAACCAGGAGAAGUGUCCUGUGAUGUCUGUACCGAGGGUGAGCACAAGGCCCUGAAGUCCUGUCUGGCGUGUCUGGUCUCUUACUGAGAGACUCACCUGGAGCCUCCUCAGAGAGUGGCGUCCUUGACGAGACACAAGCCGAUCGACCCUGUGGACAACCUGGAAGACAGGCUGUGUCAGACACACAGCAGACCCCUGGAGAUGUUCUGCAGGAGAGACCUGACGUGUGUGUGUCAAAUCUGCACCGAGACAGACCACAAGACUCACAAGACUGUCCUAUAGAGGAAGAGUGUGGAGAGAGGAAGGCUCAGCUGGAGAAGACUAAAGGGAAAGUGCAGCAGAUGAUCCAGGAACGAAAG
Oncorhynchus keta (chum salmon) is the source of this 728-nucleotide long non-coding RNA. RefSeq lists it as uncharacterized. The transcript is spliced from 3 exons. The record is from RefSeq and is a predicted model, not a curated record. Lineage: Eukaryota; Metazoa; Chordata; Actinopteri; Salmoniformes; Salmonidae.